Molecule: transfer RNA, 76 nt
Filed under: bioreactor metagenome
Description: tRNA-Ala
Rfam family: tRNA
About the family: Transfer RNA (tRNA) molecules are approximately 80 nucleotides in length. Their secondary structure includes four short double-helical elements and three loops (D, anti-codon, and T loops). Further hydrogen bonds mediate the characteristic L-shaped molecular structure. tRNAs have two regions of fundamental functional importance: the anti-codon, which is responsible for specific mRNA codon recognition, and the 3' end, to which the tRNAs corresponding amino acid is attached (by aminoacyl-tRNA synthetases). tRNAs cope with the degeneracy of the genetic code in two manners: having more than one tRNA (with a specific anti-codon) for a particular amino acid; and 'wobble' base-pairing, i.e. permitting non-standard base-pairing at the 3rd anti-codon position.
Source: RNAcentral
GGGGAAUUGGCGAAGUUGGGAUCGCGCUUGACUGGCAGUCAAGAGAUCAGGGGUUCGAACCCCCUAUUCUCCACCA